This 478-nucleotide ribosomal RNA is filed under the name uncultured bacterium. RNAcentral's name for it is "partial 16S ribosomal RNA". It matches the Rfam family "Bacterial small subunit ribosomal RNA", at positions 28 to 523 of the family's 1533-position model. The record is from RNAcentral.
GACGAACGCUGGCGGCGUGCUUAACACAUGCAAGUCGAACGGUAAGGCCCUUCGGGGUACACGAGUGGCGAACGGGUGAGUAACACGUGGGUGAUCUGCCCUGCACUUCGGGAUAAGCCUGGGAAACUGGGUCUAAUACCGGAUAGGACCACUGCCUGCAUGGGUGGUGGUGGAAAGCUUUUGCGGGGUGGGAUGGGCCCGCGGCCUAUCAGCUUGUUGGUGGGGUGAUGGCCUACCAAGGCGACGACGGGUAGCCGGCCUGAGAGGGUGACCGGCCACGCUGGGACUGAGAUACGGCCCAGACUCCUACGGGAGGCAGCAGUGGGGAAUAUUGCACAAUGGGCGCAAGCCUGAUGCAGCGACGCCGCGUGAGGGAUGACGGCCUUCGGGUUGUAAACCUCUUUCAGCACCGACGAAGCGCAAGUGACGGUAGGUGCAGAAGAAGGACCGGCCAACUACGUGCCAGCAGCCGCCGUAA